Small nucleolar RNA from Xiphophorus couchianus (Monterrey platyfish), 85 nucleotides. The record is from Ensembl. NCBI's taxonomy places the organism in Eukaryota, Metazoa, Chordata, Actinopteri, Cyprinodontiformes, Poeciliidae.
AUCCACGUUACCAUGGAGGCUGUAUUUUCUUUUCAAUGACAGUCCUCCUUCCUAGGCGUGGUACAGAAAAUUCUUGCUCUUAUUC